UGCAAGAACACCUUAGGCCUAUAACUGGU
This 29-nucleotide non-coding RNA is filed under the name Macaca fascicularis (crab-eating macaque). The record is from RNAcentral. Lineage: Eukaryota; Metazoa; Chordata; Mammalia; Primates; Cercopithecidae. RNAcentral also lists the same sequence under 1 other name.